This 456-nucleotide ribosomal RNA is filed under the name uncultured Anaerolineaceae bacterium. RNAcentral's name for it is "bacterial SSU rRNA". It matches the Rfam family "Bacterial small subunit ribosomal RNA", at positions 912 to 1382 of the family's 1533-position model. Lineage: Bacteria; Bacillati; Chloroflexota; Anaerolineae; Anaerolineales; Anaerolineaceae. The record is from RNAcentral.
GACGGGGACCCGCACAAGCAGCGGAGCGUGUGGUUUAAUUCGAUGCUACACGAAGAACCUUACCAGGGUUUGACAUGCAAGUGGUAGGAAUCUGAAAAGGGACCGACCUUCGGGGAGCUUGCACAGGUGCUGCAUGGCUGUCGUCAGCUCGUGUCGUGAGAUGUUCGGUUAAGUCCGCUAACGAGCGCAACCCUCACUGUGUGUUAUAUGUGUCACACGGGACUGCCGGUUUUAAGCCGGAGGAAGGUGGGGAUGACGUCAAGUCAGCAUGGCCUUUAUAUCCUGGGCUACACACACGCUACAAUGGUCGGUACAAUAGGUUGCCAAGCCGCGAGGCGGAGCCAAUCCACAAAGCCGGCCUCAGUUCAGAUUGUAGGCUGCAACUCGCCUGCAUGAAGAUGGAGUUGCUAGUAACCGCAGGUCAGCAAUACUGCGGUGAAUACGUUCCCGGGUCUU